AUUGAACGCUGGCGGCAGGCUUAACACAUGCAAGUCGAACGAUGACUCUCUAGCUUGCUAGAGAAGAUUAGUGGCGGACGGGUGAGUAACAUUUAGGAAUCUGCCUAGUGGUGGGGGAUAGCUCGGGGAAACUCGAAUUAAUACCGCAUACGACCUACGGGUGAAAGGGGGCGCAAGCUCUUGCUAUUAGAUGAGCCUAAAUCAGAUUAGCUAGUUGGUGGGGUAAAGGCCCACCAAGGCGACGAUCUGUAACUGGUCUGAGAGGAUGAUCAGUCACACCGGAACUGAGACACGGUCCGGACUCCUACGGGAGGCAGCAGUGGGGAAUAUUGGACAAUGGGGGCAACCCUGAUCCAGCCAUGCCGCGUGUGUGAAGAAGGCCUUUUGGUCGUAAAGCACUUUAAGCAGGGAGGAGAGGCUAAUGGUUAAUACCCAUUAGAUUAGACGUUACCUGCAGAAUAAGCACCGGCUAACUCUGUGCCAGCAGCCGCGGUAAUACAGAGGGUGCGAGCGUUAAUCGGAAUUACUGGGCGUAAAGCGAGUGUAGGUGGCUCAUUAAGUCACAUGUGAAAUCCCCGGGCUUAACCUGGGAACUGCAUGUGAUACUGGUGGUGCUAGAAUAUGUGAGAGGGAAGUAGAAUUCCAGGUGUAGCGGUGAAAUGCGUAGAGAUCUGGAGGAAUACCGAUGGCGAAGGCAGCUUCCUGGCAUAAUAUUGACACUGAGAUUCGAAAGCGUGGGUAGCAAACAGGAUUAGAUACCCUGGCAGUCCACGCCGUAAACGAUGUCUACUAGCCGUUGGGGUCCUUGAGACUUUAGUGGCGCAGUUAACGCGAUAAGUAGACCGCCUGGGGAGUACGGCCGCAAGGUUAAAACUCAAAUGAAUUGACGGGGGCCCGCACAAGCGGUGGAGCAUGUGGUUUAAUUCGAUGCAACGCGAAGAACCUUACCUGGUCUUGACAUAGUGAGAAUCCUGCAGAGAUGCGGGAGUGCCUUCGGGAAUUCACAUACAGGUGCUGCAUGGCUGUCGUCAGCUCGUGUCGUGAGAUGUUGGGUUAAGUCCCGCAACGAGCGCAACCCUUUUCCUUAUUUGCCAGCGGGUUAAGCCGGGAACUUUAAGGAUACUGCCAGUGACAAACUGGAGGAAGGCGGGGACGACGUCAAGUCAUCAUGGCCCUUACGACCAGGGCUACACACGUGCUACAAUGGUAGGUACAGAGGGUUGCUACACAGCGAUGUGAUGCUAAUCUCAAAAAGCCUAUCGUAGUCCGGAUUGGAGUCUGCAACUCGACUCCAUGAAGUCGGAAUCGCUAGUAAUCGCAGAUCAGAAUGCUGCGGUGAAUACGUUCCCGGGCCU
RNAcentral lists this ribosomal RNA (1355 nucleotides) under uncultured bacterium. RNAcentral describes it as "bacterial SSU rRNA". It matches the Rfam family "Bacterial small subunit ribosomal RNA", at positions 28 to 1381 of the family's 1533-position model. The record is from RNAcentral.